GGCCAAAGAUCACACACCGAUUGGCCGCAAAACCAGGGCUGGAAGCCAAGCCUUGUGGCCUACUGGGCAUCAGGCAUGACACCUUUUUCUGGAAGGACAGCCCUCAGCAAUGCUUUUAGAGCCGCGCUUUACAAAUGAGGGCCCGUUGCAAAGUGAGAGCAGAGAGCCUUUCUAAUUUACUUAGAGAAGAAGAGGAAAAUGAUGGGCUUGAUAAUUGCUAGAGUCGCACUUCUAACUCUAUUUACAGGGUGGAAGAUUGAUUGCGGGGGCUAAGAACCUCGGCAGGCUCGGCAGGCUUCUGUUCUGAUGCAAUUAAGCUUUGCUCCUUCCAGCUCUGCCUAGGACCUGGGUCAGGCCCCGCGAGACCUGGGUGUGAGCUGGAAACCCAGUCUGGACCUGCUCCAGCCUUGAGUCCUGAAGAAGUCCGUGGGAAUAGGCAAGAACUUGGCGCCCAUGGUCCAAGUAAGGCCAUCGGGGCCGUUGGGUCAUGCUUCCUGGUACCUGGGCUGCUGGCCAGACCCUCACACGGUAUCAGAAUCCCCCUGCCACUACCUGCUUGAAGUUGGGCGGCUCCAGGACCACCCCGAGCUGGCCGUGCUCUGUCCUCACCACCCAGGCUGGCCCCCUGGGUAGCCGUCGCCAUCUUGAUUGCGCCUGGGUUUCCUCUGCGCUUUGCACUUUGGCGAUGUGGGCUGUGAACCUCUCCACAGAGGACCCCAGUGCUACUCUGGAGCUGGGCCUCUUUCCCCAACCCUGUCCACCCUAGCCAAGCAUGGCUCAGCCCAUUUGUUUGCUUUUGUUGUUUAUGAGAGUGGAAAACUGGAAACCCACCAAAUGCCCCCAAAUAAGGGAUGGUUAUGGAAAUGCAGAAACGUUGACCACUAUGAAAGGGUAUGCAGCCAUGGCAAUUCUUUUUACGAAGAGUCUUCUGCUUAGCAUGGCAUCGAGACCGCCAUGUUGAACUGGGCACCUCUCAUGGCGUCCAAGUGGCCUCAAGGGCAGGACUUCAUGGUCUGAGUCAGCGAGCUUCGUUUCUGGCUGCCCAUCUGAAUCCUACUCACGCUGACGUUGGAACUCGCCCAAGACAUAUGGAACCAGAAUCUCUGGGGCUCCAUAUUUUUAAGCGGCUCUCAAGUCAAAGCUACUUCCCAGCGCAGCCACCUCAAACCGUUGCCUUUGGGUCUUCAGCAACACGAGCUCCUUGAGAGGGCUGGUUUGCGAGGCGUUAUUUCCUAGACACCAGACAGAAAAAUGUAAGCCAAGCACGGGAACGUCUGGGCUCGUGGUGACCAUCUUCGGCGUCACGCGAGAGCGUCUGUCUGGCACCUCGUAGGCUGGGGAAACAGGCGUGAAGCAGCCAGCGCUUCUGGGGGUUUCGUAUCUGGAGUGUAGCAAAUGCUACCUAGGACAUCGUGCUAUCCGGGUGCGACUGGCUAAGGGGCGAUUGUGUCCGUUUGUCCACAAGACCACUCGUGCUGUGUGGUCCUAAGUGUGCUGGUCGACCACACGCCCACCCCAGAUUCUCUGCCUGACUCCUGGACCUUUGGCUACAACCACAGUGGGAAAGGGAGGUACUGGGUGGCCCCGGAAGGGAUGAAUGAAUGAAAGGGUAGAGCUAGGGAGGAGAGUGUCACCAGCUACAUGAGAAUCAACAGCUUGGAGACCUUCUAUAACUCCCAGAUCACCCUGGGCCCGCCACCCCUCCCCCCCCAAAUCCUUCAAUGUGCUGUCAUCAGUUUGUCAUUUUGGAUUUUAUUAAAGUCACCU
This is a long non-coding RNA of Leopardus geoffroyi (Geoffroy's cat), 1767 nucleotides long. RefSeq lists it as uncharacterized. Lineage: Eukaryota; Metazoa; Chordata; Mammalia; Carnivora; Felidae. The record is from RefSeq and is a predicted model, not a curated record. The transcript has 3 exons.